GGAGGGUCCAAGCGUUAUCCGGAUUUAUUGGGUUUAAAGGGUGCGUAGGCGGAAUUGUAAGUCAGAGGUGAAAGCCCACAGCUUAACUGUGGAACUGCCUUUGAUACUGCGAUUCUUGAGUUCAGAUGAGGUGGGCGGAAUGUGACAUGUAGCGGUGAAAUGCAUAGAUAUGUCACAGAACGCCGAUUGCGAAGGCAGCUCACUAAACUGACACUGACGCUGAGGCACGAAAGCGUGGGGAGCGAACAGGAUUAGAUACCCUGGUAGUCCCACGCCCGUAAACGAUGAUUACUCGAUGCGUGCAAUACAUAGUACGUGUCCAAGCGAAAGCGUUAAGUAAUCCACCUGGGGAGUACGAUCGCAAGGUUG
RNAcentral lists this ribosomal RNA (369 nucleotides) under uncultured organism. RNAcentral describes it as "partial 16S ribosomal RNA". It matches the Rfam family "Bacterial small subunit ribosomal RNA", at positions 527 to 896 of the family's 1533-position model. The record is from RNAcentral.